Molecule: long non-coding RNA, 3292 nt
Organism: Macaca fascicularis (crab-eating macaque)
Lineage: Eukaryota; Metazoa; Chordata; Mammalia; Primates; Cercopithecidae
Source: Ensembl
UUUUUUUUUUUUUUUUUGCUGAGUGGCAUCUGCUUCUGACUCAUGGCAUAUCCUCUCUGGGAAGGACAGAGCCUAACACCAGCAAGAUAGUGAGUUCUCCUUGUGGAUGAACCCCCCAUGUUUUAUGUGUUAUGUCUUCUCUGGUUGCAUUAGCCAAUGUUGGUAACAUUUGAAGCUUAAAAGGAUGAUAUUUGAAAAAUUUUGGGCCAGGCACGAUGACUCACACCUGUAAUCCCGGCACUUUGGGAAGCUGAGGCAAGGGGAUUGCUUGAGGAGUUCAAGACCAGCCUGGGCAGCACAGCAAGACCCCAUCUAUUAAAAAAAAAUUAGGCCGCGCACGGUGGCUCAAGCCUGUAAUCCCAGCACUUUGGGAGGCCGAGACGGGCGGAUCACGAGGUCAGGAGAUCGAGACCAUCCUGGCUAACACGGUGAAACCCGUCUCUAAAAUACAAAAAAAAAACUAGCAGUGGGUGGGGCCUGUAGUCCCAGCUACUCAGGAGGCUGAGGCAGGAGAAUGGCGUGAACCCGGGAGGCGGAGCUUGCAGUGAGCCGAGAUCUGGCCACCGCACUCCAGCCUGGGUGACAGAGCAAGACUCCGCCUCAAAAAAAAAAAAAAAAAAAUUAGAAAAGUUAGCCAGGUGUGGUGGCACACACCUGUAGUCCCAGCAACUCAGAGGCUGAGGUAGGAGGAGCACUUGAGUCCACGCAUUCGAGGUUACAGUGAGCUAUGAUCGCACCCCUGUACUCCAGCCUGGGCAAUAGAAUGAUACCCUGUCUCUUAAAAAAUAAUAAUAAUUCUGUUGCCCGGCUGGAGUGUAGUGCUUUUCUCUUUUGCCUUGAUGGGUACAUGAUCUUCAUCUUCAUUGGCCUGAGGCAUGCAUCUCUGCUUAAAGAGAAACCGGGAUUAAUGUUUGAUAUAGACAGAAUGCACAGAAGAAAAAAUGUGGUGAUGUUUGGCAUUUGACAUGCAAAAUAGGAUUAUGCUGCAGAUCAAAAGUCUUCUAAAGCAGGCUCUUCUCUUGAGAGCAUGUUUCCUGGAUUCUCUCAUCCCUCUCCUUGGGUGUGGCCCUGGAGUUUUAUGUAAUGGAUGACUGAGCAAGAAGAGGAAGAGUGUUGGUCCCCUCCUUCCUGCCCAGGGGAUGGUACGAAGGGGAUUAGAAGGAUAACAAACAAGCAGAGCCAAGCACUGGCCCACUCACCCCUCCCCGAGAGAAAGAAGCCCUUGUCCCCAACUCACACUGGAACUCUGGGAAGAAGUGGCAUCCCAGGCAGCUGCAAACUAACCCGGCCUCUGCCUCCAGCACCAGGGCUCCCCGGUAAGGGAGAGGCACCACUGAAGGUCAGCUUUCAAAGCCAACUUCCAUUCCUGUGAGCCCGCAGCCCUGCCGGGGCCACGGUGGCACAGCUAGGAGGAGGGGCCCAGGUGCCGGAGGGCGGGCCAGCCAGGGGCGCCACAGGGGCUCUAGUCAGAUCAGGAGGGACUGCACCAUGAGUUUCAUAAACUCAGCUUCUAGUAUGAUCAGUGUCCCCAGAAGGAGACCUUGCUGGGUCCAGAGGACACCACAGCCCAGGAUCCCAACUCAUGCCUCCUACCAGAUGCCAGACAAGCUGCCCUUGUCUGUCUACAACACCCCAACAGCACCACACUGGGAGAAGCUGGGGAAAGCAGUCUGAGAACUAAGCAUUUUAUCCAAGAGAAAUUAAUAAGAUCACUUAACAAGACCGGCUAAACUCUCUGGCCCCAGGUGGUUUAAAUCAAGUUGAAAAUUUCAUUGCUUUUCUCACUUAUCAUCAGGCAGGGGUUGGAAGAAAAGCCAGAUUCAUUAUAGACUCAUAAAUAAGGAAAUUACCUUUUUUCUGCACAAAUAAAUUACAGAGUGAAUUAAGUUUUCAACCCUGUUGCACACACAAAAAUAGAGGAGUUCCUGCUGUCCCACUGCAAUGCCGGCUGACUUUUCCAACCAAAGACAAGGGUCCAAGCCUUCUGGAUCCCCAGUUCCCUCCUCCAGGUGGUGGGGAACACAGCUGUGGCAGAGAGAGGUAAGGUCCCCCUUGAGCCUGAGUGGUCACAUUAGCCCUCUUGGGCUCACGCUCCAGGUCCUGCCCUCCUGGCUUACCUGUGUGUUUUUUUUUUUUGAGGGGAGGAAUGAGGUUUUCAUUCUCUUUCCAGGCCCUUCCCAUUCAGGGCAUUUCAGAUCCCUCCUUCUCCUGACCCCUGAAUUGAAUUGGGUGAAGAAUGGUCCCCUGCCCUACACGCUGCAUGUCUGGGAGAGGCCGGAGGUGGAGCCGGCACAUGCAAAAGCAAUGCUGCCACCUGCUGGCGCCACGAAGAGACACAGCCCAGGUGGGCAACCAAACCCCAUUAGGCCUGGAGGAACUGCACCAGGAUGUCUUGCAGCUGAAUGGUUUCUUUUUCCAAUGCAGCUUCUCACCUCUUCCUUCAUUUAGUCAUCCAGUAUGCUGGCUGGAACAAGAACAUCAUCCCAUUUUAUGGACGAGACAACUGACACCCACGAAAGGGCAGAAUGCUGAUGAGCUCACAUGUGUGGGGAUGGCUUGAAGGCAACCCUUAGUCUCCUGCCUCCCAGCCAACAGCUGUGUCCCCUCCUCAGUGCUCAGAUGAGGUGUCCCAGAAAUCGAGGGACCCCUAUGAACAAGGUUUACAGGGCCAUCCCCAACAUCCAGGGAGGCAGAGUGAGGGAGGAGGGCACCAGGCAGUAAUGCCCACUCUGCAGCUGGCUCAAGGCCUGAUACACGUGUACAGCAACUCCGUUUCCCAAGGGUUCACAUACCUUCCGCACAGAUUUUGUAUUUUUUGUAGAGAAGUGGGUUUGUCCUGUUGCCCAGGCUGGUCUCGAACCCCUCGGCACAAGUGUGAUGUUGCUUUUCGAUAAGGAUCUAGAAGAGCCGAGUCCUGGCCUAGGCCCGUAAAUGAGUCGUAACCUACAAAACAGACGGUGAAAGAGGCAAGAAUCAUUUUCCCAAAUGGCAACUGCAGGCGGAGUAUGUGGGGGGACCUCACAGAGAUGUGUGGUCAGCAGGUGUGUGAUGACCGGGACGCAUCCUCUCCCGCUGGGUGCUCAGCACCCAACUCUCUCAUUUGCUCCUGGCUCUUCCAGCCCAGGCCUUCACUUGGCAGAAACAGCCUGGAGGACAGAAAAAGUGUCUCCUCUCUGCCCGAGACCCCUCCCACCUGCACAGACCAUGGGGGAGCAGCUCUUCCCUUUUCCCGGCGUAGGAGAUGACUGGGCCGGUGGGAAAUCCCAUUAUUCCUCGGCAGCGGUCCAUGUCC